Molecule: long non-coding RNA, 1613 nt
Filed under: Ixodes scapularis (black-legged tick)
Lineage: Eukaryota; Metazoa; Arthropoda; Arachnida; Ixodida; Ixodidae
Description: uncharacterized LOC115311213, transcript variant X8
Source: RNAcentral
CCGGAGGCCCCCCUCUCCCUUUCCGGCGCAUCGUCGCGUUUGUUCAUGUACCGCCGCGUGUAGGACGUACUAACGAACUUUCUCUUUACGUUCUCGCGGCUGUCACAACCUCGUGGUUUUUGGCGUUGCCUUAUAAGCCGUUCCCUCCAUUCGUUCCUUGCGGGAAGCGACGUCUAAAGCAAUCGCAGCCUCGUGGUUUUUGGCGUGGCCUGUUCGGCUGUAUCGCGCCGUUCCCUCCGUUCGUUCCUGGCGGAGCGACGUCCAAAGACCUACAGAAGGGCUCUUUAUGUCCCUCUGUCCGGUGGUGGUUGCAAGCGAGGCCUGCACCGUUAUUGCCAUCACCAUAGUCUGAAGCAGGGCUCUGCCUGGCUCUGCGUCCCUCUGUCCACUGGUGGUCGCAAUCGAGGCCUGCACCGUAAUUGCCAUCACCAUAGUCUGAAGACCUACAGCAGGGCUCUGCCUGGCGCUGCGUCCCUCUGUCCAGUGGUGGUUGCAAGCGAGGCCUGCACCAUAAUUGCCAUCACCAUAGUCUGAAGACCUACAGCAGGGCUCUGCCUGGCUCUGCGUCCCUCUGUCCAGUGGUGGUUGCAAGCGAGGCCUCCACCGUAAUUGCCAUCACCAUAGUCUGAAGACCUACAGCAGGGCUCUGCCUGGCGCUGCGUCCCUCUGUCCAGUGGUGGUUGCAAGCGAGGCCUGCACCGUAAUUGCCAUCACCAUAGUCUGAAGACCUACAGCAGGGCUCUGCCUGGCUCUGCGUCCCUCUGUCCAGUGGUGGUUGCAAGCGAGGCCUCCACCGUAAUUGCCAUCACCAUAGUCUGAAGGUUUUCUGCACGUAAAGCGCAAGAUGGAGCAUGGACAAGUUUUUUUUGUUUUUUUAAUCGUCCAAGGCAUGGAGUUUUACUGAAGUUGAGCUAUGGUCCCGUUACAAGUGGUCUGUGUUUUAUUCAUCAUAGAUAUUAUUAGCCGCAUCAGGUUUUAUCUUGCUCGUCUUUGAAAUAUCAAUUGGUUUUCAACUAAAACUGCAUUUUCCUGUUAAGCGCAGGUUUCUUCAGAUGAAAGCGUAGACUGGGGUCCGAACAAGGUGUUCUUUUUUUAACUGGCCCAGGCACAUUGUUUUAUUGAAGGUGAGCUAUGGUCUCCUACCCGCCUUACUUGUCACAGACAUUAUUUGCUGCCCUAGAUUUUUCUUCUCUUUUGAAAUGUCAGUUGGUUUUCAACUAAAUAUGCAUUUUCCCUGGCAAUUGCAGGUUUUCUGCAUGUAAAGUGCAAGAUGGAGCUUAGACAAGUUUUUGUUUCGUUAAUUGCCUGAGGCCCAAAGCACGGUGUUUUACUGGAAGUGAGCUGUGGUCUGUGUCCUAUUUGUCACGGACAUUACUUGCUGUGUCAGAUAUUUCAUGCCUCUCUCCUGCAAUGUCAAUUGGUUUUCAACUAAAACUACAUUUUCUGUGAUUAGCGCAGGUCUCCUCGGAGGAAAACAUUAGGCGCCGAGAUGUGCUGGCCUUCCCUUAUGGUCCAGACCAGUUGUUUUCAUCAAGGGAGCAUUGAGAUAGCCCUUCACCUCGGAAGAAGUACCCAUAAACGAAUUUUAGAUAUAAUAAAGAGCUAUUACAAUU